Molecule: long non-coding RNA, 734 nt
Organism: Pseudomyrmex gracilis
Lineage: Eukaryota; Metazoa; Arthropoda; Insecta; Hymenoptera; Formicidae
Exons: 3
Source: RefSeq, a predicted model, not a curated record
GUGUCUCCUAAAAAGAAAGCAGCCAUAAUGUCUUACGACAGACGUAAAACUGCGUUCGAAAACGUCCUUUGUCAGAUGUGAGUGAGGUGACUUGAGUAUGCAAUGUGGGGAUAAUUGGAUACUCAGAGGACUAUUAGUUUUCGAACGAUGUCUAAGAGUUUAAAUGUAAACAAAUUAAAAUGGAUAGUAUUGAGUUACGUAAAAAGCGCUUGAUUUCUUUGGCUAUAAUAACUAGCAAUGAUUUUUUGAAAUCUAGUUUAACAAAGGAUAAGUGUAACAAAGGAUUGCGAUACAGAUGAGGAAAUUGAUAGUAUUUUGCUAGCAAGAUAUCGACAUAGAUUGCGUGGUGCACGAAAAAAGCCAUUGCGCAUAAUAGGUUAUGUAGAAAGAACUGUUCAAGAUUUAACAGCAAAGCAAUUUCGUGAGCAUUUUCGCAUGACUCCUGAUGCGUACCCGAUCCGCCAUUCCUGCUCGUAAGCAUUGUUAUCAACACUGUGGCUUUUUGCUACUCCUGAUUCUUACAAGUUUGUGGGUGAGCGAUUUGACAUGGGAAAAUCAUCUGCAAGUGAUUCUUUUAUAAGAGUUGUUGAAGCCCUUAACGAUAUUGCCGGAGACGUCAUCGUCUGGCCCCGAGAAGACCGAUGAAUUGCUCUUUGUGAAAAAUUUCAGCGUAUUGGCAGGUUACCACAUGUAAUAGGAGCUAUAGAUGGGACAAAAAUACCAAUCAAAGCUUC